GCCACUGUAGCUCAACGGUAGAGCAAUCGCUUCGUAAGCGAUAGGUUAAGGGUUCGAUUCCCUUCAGUGGCU
Molecule: transfer RNA, 72 nt
Filed under: Chloroflexota bacterium
Lineage: Bacteria; Bacillati; Chloroflexota
Description: Chloroflexi bacterium (marine metagenome) tRNA-Thr
Rfam family: tRNA
About the family: Transfer RNA (tRNA) molecules are approximately 80 nucleotides in length. Their secondary structure includes four short double-helical elements and three loops (D, anti-codon, and T loops).
Source: RNAcentral